This 827-nucleotide ribosomal RNA is filed under the name uncultured bacterium. RNAcentral's name for it is "bacterial SSU rRNA". It matches the Rfam family "Bacterial small subunit ribosomal RNA", at positions 21 to 888 of the family's 1533-position model. The record is from RNAcentral.
GGCUCAGGAUGAACGCUGGCGGUCUGCUUAACACAUGCAAGUCGAACGGAAUAUCUUCGGAUAUUUAGUGGCGGACGGGUGAGUAACGCGUGAGAAUCUGCCCUUAGGAUGGGGAUAACGACUGGAAACGGUCGCUAAAACCCGAUGUGCCGAGAGGUGAAAUAUUUAUAGCCUGAGGAUGAGCUCGCGUCAGAUUAGCUAGUUGGUGGGGUAAUGGCUCACCAAGGCGACGAUCUGUAGCUGGUCUGAGAGGAUGAUCAGCCACACUGGAACUGAGACACGGUCCAGACUCCUACGGGAGGCAGCAGUGGGGAAUUUUCCGCAAUGGGCGAAAGCCUGACGGAGCAAGACCGCGUGGGGGAUGAAGGUUUGUGGAUUGUAAACCCCUUUUGUCAGGGAAGAAUAACUGACGGUACCUGACGAAUAAGCCUCGGCUAACUCCGUGCCAGCAGCCGCGGUAAUACGGAGGAGGCAAGCGUUAUCCGGAAUUAUUGGGCGUAAAGCGUCCGUAGGUGGUUAUUCAAGUCUGUUGUUAAAGAGUGGGGCUUAACCUCAUAAAGGCAAUGGAAACUGAAGGACUUGAGUGCGGUAGGGGUAGAGGGAAUUCCCAGUGUAGCGGUGAAAUGCGUAGAUAUUGGGAAGAACACCGGUGGCGAAAGCGCUCUACUGGACCUGCACUGACACUGAGGGACGAAAGCUAGGGGAGCGAAAGGGAUUAGAUACCCCUGUAGUCCUAGCCGUAAACGAUGGAUACUAGGUGUUGCGCGUAUCGACCCGUGCAGUACCGUAGCUAACGCGUUAAGUAUCCCGCCUGGGGAGUACGCUCG